Molecule: ribosomal RNA, 464 nt
Filed under: Vreelandella stevensii
Lineage: Bacteria; Pseudomonadati; Pseudomonadota; Gammaproteobacteria; Oceanospirillales; Halomonadaceae
Description: partial 16S ribosomal RNA
Rfam family: Bacterial small subunit ribosomal RNA
Source: RNAcentral
UCUACGGGGGGCUGCAGUGGGGAAUAUUGGACAAUGGGCGAAAGCCUGAUCCAGCCAUGCCGCGUGUGUGAAGAAGGCCUUCGGGUUGUAAAGCACUUUCAGUGGGGAAGAAAGCCUUGGGGCUAAUACCCUCGAGGAAGGACAUCACCCACAGAAGAAGCACCGGCUAACUCCGUGCCAGCAGCCGCGGUAAUACGGAGGUUCGAGCGUUAAUCGGAAUUACUGGGCGUAAAGCGCGCGUAGGCGGUCUGAUAAGCCGGUUGUGAAAGCCCCGGGCUCAACCUGGGAACGGCAUCCGGAACUGUCAGGCUAGAGUGCAGGAGAGGAAGGUAGAAUUCCCGGUGUAGCGGUGAAAUGCGUAGAGAUCGGGAGGAAUACCAGUGGCGAAGGCGGCCUUCUGGACUGACACUGACGCUGAGGUGCGAAAGCGUGGGUAGCAAACAGGAUUAGAUACCCGAGUAGUC